UGAGGAAUAUUGGUCAAUGGACGAGAGUCUGAACCAGCCAAGUAGCGUGAAGGAUGACUGCCCUAUGGGUUGUAAACUUCUUUUGUAUGGGAAUAAAGUGAGCCACGUGUGGCUUUUUGUAUGUACCAUACGAAUAAGGAUCGGCUAACUCCGUGCCAGCAGCCGCGGUAAUACGGAGGAUCCGAGCGUUAUCCGGAUUUAUUGGGUUUAAAGGGAGCGUAGGCGGAUUAUUAAGUCAGUUGUGAAAGUUUGCGGCUCAACCGUAAAAUUGCAGUUGAUACUGGUAGUCUUGAGUGCAGCAGAGGUAGGCGGAAUUCGUGGUGUAGCGGUGAAAUGCUUAGAUAUCACGAAGAACUCCGAUUGCGAAGGCAGCUUACUGGACUGUAACUGACGCUGAUGCUCGAAAGUGUGGGUAUCAAACAGG
Molecule: ribosomal RNA, 424 nt
Filed under: uncultured Bacteroides sp.
Lineage: Bacteria; Pseudomonadati; Bacteroidota; Bacteroidia; Bacteroidales; Bacteroidaceae
Description: bacterial SSU rRNA
Rfam family: Bacterial small subunit ribosomal RNA
Source: RNAcentral